Molecule: ribosomal RNA, 253 nt
Filed under: uncultured bacterium
Lineage: Bacteria
Description: partial 16S ribosomal RNA
Rfam family: Bacterial small subunit ribosomal RNA
Source: RNAcentral
UACAGAGGCCUCGAGCGUUAGGCGGAAUCACUGGGCUUAAAGCGUGUGUAGGCGGACGACUAAGUGCUUUGUGAAAUCCCACGGCUCAACCGUGGAAUGGCUUGGCAUACUGGUCGUCUUGAGCGGUCUAGGGGCGAGCGGAACAGAUGGUGGAGCGGUGAAAUGCGUAGAUAUCAUCUGGAACGCCAAUGGUGAAAACAGCUCGCUGGGGACCUGCUGACGCUGAGACACGAAAGCCAGGGGAGCAAACGGG